UUGAGGGGACCUGCUCCUAGUACGAGAGGACCGGAGUGGACGUAUCUCUGGUGGACCGGUUGUCACGCCAGUUGCAUCGCCGGGUCGCUAAAUACGGAAGAGAUAAACGCUGAAAGCAUCUAAGCGUGAAACUCGCCUCAAGAUAAGAUAUCCCGGGGGUUUAACCCCCCUGAAGGGUCGUUGUAGACCACAACGUUGAUAGGCCGGGUGUGGAAGCGCAGCAAUGCGUUAAGCUAACCGGUACUAAUUGCCCGUGCGGCUUGACCCU
RNAcentral lists this ribosomal RNA (268 nucleotides) under Rhodocyclaceae bacterium. Its description in RNAcentral is "partial 23S ribosomal RNA". It matches the Rfam family "Bacterial large subunit ribosomal RNA", at positions 2662 to 2925 of the family's 2925-position model. The record is from RNAcentral. Lineage: Bacteria; Pseudomonadati; Pseudomonadota; Betaproteobacteria; Rhodocyclales; Rhodocyclaceae.